Molecule: non-coding RNA, 6814 nt
Organism: Cyanistes caeruleus (blue tit)
Lineage: Eukaryota; Metazoa; Chordata; Aves; Passeriformes; Paridae
Source: RefSeq, a predicted model, not a curated record
GCAGGAGGCGGCGCCGCGGGGACCGGCUGUCGGUCCGGGCAAUGAUCGGGUGUCGGUCCGGGCAAUGAUCGGGUGUCGGUCCGUGCCGGGACCGGCUGUCGGUCCGUGCAAUGAUCGGGUGUCGGUCCGUGCCGGGACCGGGUGUCGGUCCGUGCCGGGACCGGGUGUCGGUCCGUACCGGGACCGGGUGUCGGUCCGUGCCGGGACCGGGUGUCGGUCCGUGCCGGGACCGGGUGUCGGUCCGUGCAAUGAUCGGGUGUCGGUCCGUGCAAUGAUCGGGUGUCGGUCCGUACCGGGACCGGGUGUCGGUCCGUACCGGGACCGGGUGUCGGUCCCUCGGGCUCGGCUCGCGGUCUGUGCGUGUUCCCACCCUGGGACAUUUCCAUUCAUUUCCCUCUAGAAGCGCUGGCGGGCCCGCGGGUCACUGCCCGCUUCCAAACCCAGCAUCCCGGGGGUGUGGGUGUCCCCGCAGCCCCCCGGGUCCUGGUGCUGAGCUCCCGAGCUGGCCCUUGCCUGGAAAAACUGCUUGGUUUGAGUUCAUUUCAGAGCUGCAGAAUGAGUUUGGUGUGACCUGAUCUGGUUGUCCUGCAGUGAAAGGCAUGUGUUGUAUAAAUUCCAUCCAGCACUUGAGUUUGCAAGGACUACGGUUCUUCAGGCUGCUUCCUGGAUCCAAAGGUUUCUUUUAAAAAUGUAGUUUUGUAUUGCAAUAUUUGCACAAAGAAGUGAAAUCAAAAAUUCCCCCUUCCAAAGUAAAAAUGCAGUGAGCAGUAAAGAAAGCUUUCCAGAGGAAGAUGCAUUUGAGGGUGCCAGGCUCUUCCCUCCUGUGACCUCUUGAAGAAGGUUCUGCAUUCAGGGCACUGUGGCAAGGCUAUACCACUUCCUCCUCAGUGGUAUUCCGGCUGCAUGCCCUUUGGUACUGGAGGUUCUCCCUCUUGUGCCGUACCUCACUGCUGCUCAGAAGGUUGCCAGGGAUUUACUGCAAGGGCAAGGGUUAGCAUGGGGAUUUGUUCAGGUCACCUUUUAACCUAGAGCAUCUGCUUCUGACCUGACACUCUGGCUUACUUUGAGACAACUUAGUGAAGAAAAGAGUCCUACAUACAUAAUUAAACAAAAAAAGCAGGCAACAAUUAAGUAGUUUACAAUUCAGAAUUUUUCAUGGGAUUUUGACUUCAGCUGGUGCUGGCAAGGUCUGAAUGAAGUGUGGAUAGACAGCCUGUGGUGUGAAGUGCAGAUCAGUCAGACAGGGCUAAUGGGGUCCAGUCCUCUGUGCUGCCUCAGUGGAACUGCGUGGGGAAGGGAAGAAGUUGCACAGUUCAGGAUUUCUUCCUCUUCCAGCCAGGGGUACAACUUUAUGGUCCUGGGUCUGCUUUGGCAGCCAGGAGACUGGGAUUGCUCGCAGUGCUGAUGGAGCUAGCAUGAGCUUUAAAGAACGGAAAACUAGUAAACCCUACAGUCAUUUUUAAUGGAUCUGGAAACACAAUUCAGAAAUAUAUAAUCUCAUUGUGGCCCUUCAAUGUGCAUUGUUGUAUUUUCCUGUUACACCUGAUUAGCUCCUACCCGAGUCCAAAAUGCCUCUGAUGCUAAGAAUAUACAGCCUUGGGAAGCUACCACGGGCACUGCUGAGCAUCUUCAGAGUCUGCAGCUGUGUUUUACUAAUGCCUUUGAUCUGAAGCUUUGUUUUCCUAACAGCUAAUUUAUUAGUGAGCAAAUUGAGGCUUUUGCAUAUUAACAGACUUGCCAAGUAUCACUUUGGGGCCAGAACAGAGGCUAAUGGAAUUAUGAAGUCUCUCCUCCACACCCAAAAAACUGCCCCUCUUAUGAAGUCAAUUUAAUUAUUCUCUAGGAUGGAAUGUACAAGAUGCACAGUGUAUUGCAAUAUCAAAAGGGUUCAGUUAAUUUACCUCCGUUAACCUCUGUGUGACCCUGCUCUGGGGACUUGAGGAUCUGUCACUCUUCUUGUUGGCUCAACAUCUGUCCUGUUAAACCACACACUGGGAGGAUGCAUUAACCACUCAACACUCCUGCUAUUGCUGAUAUUUUGAGCUGAGAAGAAAUCAGUUUCAGGCUCUUUUCCCUAGAAGCAGGGUUGUGCAUUCCAAGCAGUGGCACACAAGUGCUGUAACCUCUUUCCUUCUGAGUCAGCGUAACCAGCACCUGUCAGUGAGAUUGCCCAUACACAAGAGCUGCUGUUCAGACCUUUGUUCCUGGCUAGUCAGUUAUUUCCAGCUAAUCAUAAGUCAUUGCUGAGGGAGGAAAAGCAGAAUGGUUGUAGUGCUUAAUAGCCCACAGUGACGUGUGAUGUGCUCUGUGUCUGGGCACGAACAUCCCCGAGUCCUGCACACAGCAGCUUGUACCCUGCAGGGAGCUCUGCUGGAUUUCCUGGGAAAUCCCAACUCCUUAAACAGCACAAAUGUGGCAGAAAUUGGAGUGACCUUUGUGCCAAUGACUCUUGGGAAUUUUCUUAGCCUCCAAGUAACCUGUAUGGGCAGUGCAGCUGGAUAUUGCGGCACACAGCUCAGCUGAACUGUCAGCUAAUUUCUUCAAAUAUGUCCUGCAGAGAAGAUUUAAAUUGUGUUACUGAAUGGAAAUCUUUGUGUUGGGAAUAUUUGAAAGAAGACUGGCACACACGCACACACUUAAAAAGACAUUUUUGGGGAGCCUGAGGGUUUGGGUUUUAUUUUAAAGAGUCUCAUCUACUAGUAAAAGUUUAUUUCUGUUUUAAACAUGCUUUUGAGUGGGAAGUCUGCACUGUCUGCACGUGAAACAAACAGUUUGAUUGCCUCCUUAGAGCCCAUUCUGCACAAACCUAUUCCUGUGCUUGGGAUUUCAAAGUGGGAGAGCUGCUCCGAGUGCCUGUGAGGGAGUGGGGGAGUGUGUGGACAGGAAAGCGUCCCCAUGGGAGUCACUCUGCAAGGGGCUCUCCCUAAAUGCUGGGGCUGAAUCUCAGGUAUCUUCUGUGAGCCUGUGUAUACACAAACAAACACACAAACUAGCUCCAGCAUGUGCAGUGCAAGAUCUGUGCACUUCCCUCUGUGCCUGCUUGCAGGUCCUUCCCCAGAAGUGCUGUGAAGGGAGCAAGGUGAGAAUCAACAGUGUGCAAACACUGCAUUUCCUGCUACCUGUCCUGCCAAACUCAGAUCUCCUUCUGGCCUCAGGGCUUGCACAGCUCACACGGGACUCACAGGGAAUGAUGUAUGUUCCAUACUGCUGCGGGGGCACAGUGUGUGCACAGCCCCUCCUCAGCCAGGGAAAGGGGCAAUCCUGGAUAACACAUCUGCUUACUGCUACACCUUCAUCCGAAAUAAUUUUAAAAGGAUGAUGUCAGUAAGAUGAAAACUCAGAUUUGAUAAUUAGGUUUUCAUUCCAAACCCACAGUCCCCAGCAGGGUCUUGUGAAGCACCACCGAUCUGUAUUAAUUCUUCAUGCAGUUUCAUGCUCUUCUGGUCCAGAGACAGCCCCCUGCACGUUCCGGUUCACAUGUGAAUUUCUGGGUAUUACUAUGCUGUUAUGGGUGUUCUGUCUGAGCAGAUAUCUGCCUGAUUCUUUAACAGAUUCUGCAGCACUGGGUUUUUCAGAGGCUGAGGAGAGAUGCCUUCCAAGUUAGACAGUUGAACUCAAUCUGUGAAGUCAGCCAUGGGGAAUCCAGGCUUCACUUGAAACCCAGCUCUUUGGCAUUAAAUCACAGAGAUGUUUCAAAGUGAAACUGGGAAUGUUGUGCAACUCUGCAGAGAGCCAAGUCAAGAACAAACUCCAGGUUUCAAUUUUCUCACUGUUUUUAGGCAAUUCAGUGGUUGUUUGUUCUAUAUCCAUGACUACAUGGCUGCAGACAUUAUCGUCAAAUGUGGCUCAUAUGAAGUACUUGCAGACAUGGCAAUAAUUUGAGGAUUGUCAGUCUCCUGGGCUGUGGGUGCCAAUCCUCUGGCUAGCUUGUCCUGCUCUCUAGAGCUGCCCCUCCAGUGUGCCUCACCCUGGGCUGGAGGGAAUUGCUUCAGCAGGGACUAGGAUUUGACUGAGCUGCAAAACAGUGAAAUCAGAAAAUCAAGGCUCGUAAUUUUGGAAUUCUGAAACGUGAUGACCUUCAAACUCAUUUCAAAGGAGGAGAAGAUAACCCUUUGUUGGAGUAAAUCCAACUUAAGCACUGAUAUGGGUCACUCACCCAAACUGCUACCUGUAAGAUUUUGGGUUGGAGGGUAGGGGACUCCCUCCACAGCGCUGAACCCGUUACCUCACUGCUCCUUGGCAGCCAGCGCUGCUUGUGCUGUGUCAGGGCUGUGAUGCACAGCCUCCAGGGACCAGCAGCGUGGGCUGGGUGGCUCCUGCAGGGAGAUGACAGUAUUCAAUCCCUUCAAUCACUCUGCCUUAUUUUGUGGGGUAAACCACAGAAUUCACCUUUUGGUAGGUAGAAGUGAGCAUUAGGGAGGUGCCAGUUGUCCCAAAUUCUUGGUUUUCCUUACCCAGCGAUUUGCCAGCGAUCCAAUCCGUGUCGUAGGAGAGUGAGGAGGUGUCAGUCACUGUCUCUGCUGACCUGGCUCUUUUUUACCUGGAUGUGCUGUGAACUGGAGCUGUUUUGGAUGAGAAGUGAUAGUUGAAGAGGGAGCAACAACCCUGUACCAACCUGAACCACACUCACAUAGCAACUCACUUGUGCAUUAAUGGGAUUCACUUUAGUGUGAAAUACAUCAGAGCAAAGAUCUUGCAGUGUUGGUGCUGAGUUUUUGUUGGAGUUUUGAAGCAUUUUCAGGAGUGUUUCAUGCUGCUCCCCCAUAGUCUUGCUCAAGCUGAUUAUGAAACCCUGACCUUGUGGGUGGUUUGCUCAGGAAAUGGGGCUCCCCCUGCUCUGGCCCAGUUCCUUGUGCAUGCAGCAGCUUCCCCGUGAGGCUGCAGCAGGUUCUGGUGCUGGUGUCAGCUCAAUUUCCUCCUCUUAACGGCAAGCCAAGGCCUAGAUCUCAAACAUUAGCAAUGAAACAACUCCUGGAAGAACCUAGAGCAGGAGUACAAGAGGACACAGGAGGGAUGCCAAGGCUACAGAAACAGGAGGCAGUAACUGUCCGGAUGGUGCUUGGGCAGGACUGCAGCCUCCAGUGCUGCUUCCCUCAGUCCAGCAGAAAGGAAGGAGCUCUAAGUGCUGGACACCACUGUUAGCCUUUUCCUGUAAAUAUUUCUGGGCUAUCUGCACAUCUGCCUGGUGAAGAACUAGCCAAACCCCAGGCAGAAAGAGGAGGUGAGCAAACCUGAGAUGAGCCUGCAGGGAGAUCCCAUGGAGCCCAGGUCCUGCUGCCUGGGAAUAGCAAGUUUGGGACUAGUUUGUAAAAAUGGGGAUCUAGACCUUCAGCCAGAGACUGACAAGAGCUCUGCAAGUAGCUCUUUUGAGUUGAGGGAGUGAAAGGAUAGCAAAAUAAUAUCCUGAAUGCAGGUAAAUCAGCAUCUUGUGAUCAGUUGAAAUGCAGGCCUUUAUCUGUGACUUGUCUGGCAUUUGAUGUGUCCUACAGAAAGUCAGUCUGUGAGCAUUGGGGAAGCCGUGUCCUUUGGACUAACCAACUUAACAAUUAAAACAACACCAGCUCAGGAUUUUGCUUGCCUUUGACAUUUGAGACUUUACCAUGCUCUUGGAUUAUAUUUUUCAGGAUUUUUCUCUGCAGCUUUGAGGCAGGGGAGCUUAAUUAAAACCUGAAAUGCAAGGUCACUCCAGCCUUUAUUUCAAAUUGAAAUCCCCCACAACAUGUUGCCUCUCAUACAAGUAGUGGCUGUGAGUCCCUGGGAGCAAGCAGGCUGUGCUGUUUGCAUUACAGCUGAGGUUGCCAGUUAGAGCUGACAGUGUUUUGCACCAGUUCUGGGCACAUGGACAGCUGGCACAGUUCAGCUGUGCUCCUGUUUUACACAUGUGUUUUGCUCUGCUCCUCAGAUCUGGGAGCUGCUGGAUCCAGCUGCAUCCCUGCAAUGCCAGUGCUUUGGAGCAGGAACACCAUAAGGCAGGGUCACAUCCUCACUGGAGAGAAGCUGGGACAAGAAUCACACCUCUGCAGAGCUGCACACCCUGUGCCACAGAGCUCCGAGCCUCUGGAGUCCUGCUGCAGGGAGCCAGGGUGAGUGCAGGGAGCCAGGGUCAGUGUCUUUGUUCCUGCUGUGUUUUUGGAGACUCCUCAGGAGAUGGAGUUUUCCCUUCUGGAGCAGUGUUCUCCUGAUCAGUCUGUGCCUCAGGAACCCCACAAGUACCCCAGUACUUCCCAUGUCAGAGGUCCUUUACCUUGCACGAGUUCCAAGGUGCAGCCCAUUUUGGCAGGGCCAGUGGCAGCCAGAGCAGCAGGGAGAGCUGAGCGCUGCUGUGCUGCCCACGGUGCUGCAGGAAAGAGAGGAUGGAGAGGAGGGGUAGGAGGCAGCAGAAACCUCACAGGAGUGGUGUCACCACGGGCUGCUAAGCCCAGCAAGAAGCCGUGGUGGCUGUCCACUGGCUCAGGGUUUGCUCAGGUGCAGCUCAAGCCGUGCCUCAGCUUUGCUCCUGUCCCGGCUGUCUGAUCACCACAGUUCUGCCUCAGCUUUCCCUUCCUUGCAGCAGCACUGUUCUCAUGUUAGGAGGGCGGGCUUUUUCCUUCAGACUGAAACUCACAGGUAUUAAAAGUCCACAGUAAUUUUUAAAAUAUUUUCUAGUAUUGUUAAACCAGUGGAUUGUCUCAUACAAUGUACUUUUUAUUGUCUUGACAAAGUAUCUUUCGUCCUCAUUUCCUCCUCAAGGCAUUUGAAUCUAAGUACAUUUAAGCACCUAUGUAUCUGUAUACAUUUAAAUAAAAGCUAAUGGAUAUUCCACUGUCACUGUAAA